Molecule: long non-coding RNA, 408 nt
Filed under: Helianthus annuus (common sunflower)
Lineage: Eukaryota; Viridiplantae; Streptophyta; Magnoliopsida; Asterales; Asteraceae
Source: RNAcentral
GGGGGCGGUGGUGGCUGGUUAUUUAGUGUUCAGAUUUGUAGAAACUUAGAUCAAAACGAGCGACACAGUGUAUAUAGUUCGAUUCGAGCUUGUAUAGUGUUCGGAUUCAUACUAAUGCCUGGUUAUUUGUGUUGACAGUGGCGGUGGUGGCUGGUACCGGCCACCGUAUCAGGAGGAGUUCCAGUAACAUGGGAGGCGAUGAAGAGACAAAAACAGGGGAUGAAGAGAAGUUGUUUGAUCUCAAUGAUUACACCAUAAUUAAAGAAGGGGAAGCUGAGAUUUUGAUGCAUACUAAAAAUGAAGUCUUUUACAAUAAAACCCAGUGUUGGUGGUAGGUGGGGGCGGUGGCGGUUGGUGGCGCCGGUGGUGGUUGGAUAUAGAGAGAUAGAGUGGGGUGGGGUGGUGGAU